ACCCCACUGCUAUCGGGAUAGGACUAAGACAUGCUAGUCAAGCGCUUUCUAGCUAAUGUGAAAGCGCGGCGUACAGCUCAGUAACACGUGGCCAACCUGCCCUUGGGACGGGAACACCCCCGGGAAACUGGGGUUAAUUCCCGAUAGGUGAAGAAGUCUGGAAUGAAUCUUCGCUCAAAAGACGUUUAUGUCAUGCUCAUACUCGUCGCCCAGGGAUGGGGCCGCGACCGAUCAGGUUGUUGGUGAGGCAAUGGCUCACCAAGCCUUUUACCGGUGCGGGCCGUGAGAGCGGGAGCCCGGAGAUGGGCACUGAGACAAGGGCCCAGGCCCCACGGGGCGCAGCAGUCGCGAAAACUUUGCAAUACACGAAAGUGUGACAGGGCUAUCCCGAGUGCCAUCCGCUGAGGAAGGCUUUUACCCAGUAUAAAUAGCUGGGAGAAUAAGGAGAGGGCAAGUCUGGUGUCAGCCGCCGCGGUAAUACCAGCUCUCCGAGUAGUGUGGAUGUUUAUUGGGCCUAAAGCAUCCGUAGCUUGCUAGACAAGUCCCCUGUUAAAUCCACCGAUUCAAUCGUUGGAUUGCGGGGGAUACUGUUUGGCUAGGGACGGGAGAGGUCGACGGUAUUUCCGGGGUAGGGUGAAUCCUAUAAUCCCGGGAAGACCACCAGUGGCGAAGCUGUCGACUAGAACGCGCCCG
This 693-nucleotide ribosomal RNA is filed under the name uncultured archaeon. RNAcentral's name for it is "bacterial SSU rRNA". It matches the Rfam family "Archaeal small subunit ribosomal RNA", at positions 21 to 693 of the family's 1478-position model. The record is from RNAcentral.